Molecule: ribosomal RNA, 275 nt
Filed under: uncultured bacterium
Lineage: Bacteria
Description: partial 16S ribosomal RNA
Rfam family: Bacterial small subunit ribosomal RNA
Source: RNAcentral
CCUACGGGCGGCUGCAGCUAGGAAUCUUGGGAAUGGGCGAAAGCCUGACCCAGCAACGCCGCGUGGGCGACGAAGGCCUUCGGGUCGUAAAGCCCUUUUGCGAGGGACGAUAAUGACGGUACCUCGCGAAUAAGCCACGGCUAACUACGUGCCAGCAGCCGCGGUAAUACGUAGGUGGCAAGCGUUGUCCGGAUUUACUGGGCGUAAAGGGCGUGCAGGCGGUCUGUUAAGUCUAGGGUGAAAGCUCCCGGCUCAACUGGGAGAGGUCCUUGGAU